This 66-nucleotide transfer RNA is filed under the name bovine gut metagenome. It matches the Rfam family "tRNA". From Rfam's summary of the family: Transfer RNA (tRNA) molecules are approximately 80 nucleotides in length. Their secondary structure includes four short double-helical elements and three loops (D, anti-codon, and T loops). Further hydrogen bonds mediate the characteristic L-shaped molecular structure. tRNAs have two regions of fundamental functional importance: the anti-codon, which is responsible for specific mRNA codon recognition, and the 3' end, to which the tRNAs corresponding amino acid is attached (by aminoacyl-tRNA synthetases). tRNAs cope with the degeneracy of the genetic code in two manners: having more than one tRNA (with a specific anti-codon) for a particular amino acid; and 'wobble' base-pairing, i.e. permitting non-standard base-pairing at the 3rd anti-codon position. The record is from RNAcentral.
CGGGUAGCUCAGUUGGUAGAGCAGGGGACUGAAAAUCCCUGUGCCGAGGGUUCAAGUCCCCCCCCG